This 253-nucleotide long non-coding RNA is filed under the name Setaria viridis. RNAcentral describes it as "long non-coding RNA (SVIR_LNC000529)". The record is from RNAcentral. Lineage: Eukaryota; Viridiplantae; Streptophyta; Magnoliopsida; Poales; Poaceae.
GAUGGAGGGAGUAGUUUGAUUAAGAUCCUACAGAUUAUGUUGUGUCAAUGGAAGAAUGCGAAAUUUUUCAGGUACAUGCCAUUCAGUAACUCCCAUUAGAAUUCAUAAAACAUUCAGACAUAAGUGUAUGGUGAAAAUCUUCGUAUGAACUUGUAGCUCUGGGAUUUUUGGAUAACUUGUAGCUCUUGGUGAGAUCGACAACGUUGUAGCUGGAAACCUUUACAAUAGAACUCAUUAGAUUUCUCAAAUAUUG